Meriones unguiculatus (Mongolian gerbil) is the source of this 409-nucleotide long non-coding RNA. RefSeq lists it as uncharacterized. NCBI's taxonomy places the organism in Eukaryota, Metazoa, Chordata, Mammalia, Rodentia, Muridae. The record is from RefSeq and is a predicted model, not a curated record. The transcript has 3 exons.
AGGGGGAGAUCGUGGACUUGUACUUGCCUGCAAAAGCCCAGCCAAUCGCCAAGAUUAAUCCUUCCUUUUGUGCGCCUGAAAGAGCCUCCCACCACGCUGGUCCUCGGCUCCGCAGCGGCUAGAUGAUGGAGAAGCUGCGCCUGAAAACCUGAAGUAUUUCCCUUCAAGCAGCUGACCAGGAAAAAAAAAUUAAAGGGUUUUACUAUGUGGCUCUGGAACUCACUAUACAGAUGAUGAGGCUGGCCUCAAUUCCACAGAUAUACGUCUGCAUCUGCCUUCCAAGUGCUUGGGUCAAAGGCAUACACCACUGAACCUAACACAAAGCACCCACCUUUUAUUUUGAUGGGGUUUUGUAAAAUGGGAUCAUUUCUAGGACUCCAAAGAGCUAACGGUAGAGCUCUGCGCCCUG